AUACUAGGGGGCUAGCGUUAUCCGGAAUUACUGGGUCGUAAAGGGUGCGUAGGCGGUUUCUUAAGUCAGAGGUGAAAGGCUACGGCUCAACCGUAGUAAGCCUUUGAAACUGGGAAACUUGAGUGCAGGAGAGGAGAGUGGAAUUCCUAGUGUAGCGGUGAAAUGCGUAGAUAUUAGGAGGAACACCAGUUGCGAAGGCGGCUCUCUGGACUGUAACUGACACUGAGGCACGAAAGCGUGGGGAGC
RNAcentral lists this ribosomal RNA (246 nucleotides) under uncultured bacterium. RNAcentral describes it as "partial 16S ribosomal RNA". It matches the Rfam family "Bacterial small subunit ribosomal RNA", at positions 523 to 769 of the family's 1533-position model. The record is from RNAcentral.